UAAAUUAGUAAUGGGCCUUGAUAUGAUAAUGGGCUAGGGUUUCAUCCCCACUUAUCUUGCUCAUAUAAAGUUACGCAAACACUUGUCUGGCCGUUCUUUCUCUGUCUCCGUUCUAUCCAAAAGGAGAGAAUAGUAGCUGAGGAAGUGCCAAAAUGAGUAAGCUCCAGAGUGAAGCCGUGAAAGAUGCGAUAUCAACCAUUAUCACUCACUGCAAGGAGACGAAGCCUCGCAAGUUCACCGAGACUAUCGAGCUCCAGAUUGGUCUCAAGAACUAUGACCCUCAAAAGGACAAGAGGUUUAGCGGUUCCGUUAAGUUGCCUCACAUUCCUAGGCCCAAGAUGAAGAUUUGCAUGCUCGGUGACGCCCAGCACGUUGAAGAGGCUGAGAAGAUUGGGUUAGAGUCUAUGGAUGUGGAAGCUCUUAAGAAGCUGAACAAGAACAAGAAGCUUGUCAAGAAGCUAGCUAAGAAGUUCCAUGCUUUCCUUGCUUCUGAAUCUGUCAUCAAGCAGAUUCCCCGUCUUCUUGGUCCUGGUCUCAACAAGGCAGGAAAGUUCCCAACUCUUGUUAGUCACCAAGAGUCUUUGGAGUCCAAAGUGAAUGAGACAAAGGCAACAGUGAAGUUCCAGCUCAAGAAGGUUCUUUGCAUGGGUGUCGCCGUUGGGAAUCUCGGCAUGGAAGAGAAGCAGAUCUUCCAGAAUGUUCAGAUGAGCGUCAACUUCCUUGUUUCCCUCUUGAAGAAAAACUGGCAAAACGUUAGGUGCUUGUACUUGAAGAGCACAAUGAGUCCACCCACCCGUGUUUUCUAAGAUUAUUUUAUCUCAAAGUUUCUCUCAAGGUGUCAUCUGGCUGUGAGGAGAUUUCAUUUUCAUUUCUGUCAUGAUUAAGAUUUUGUUUAAAGACGGAGUUAUUUAUAAUAUUCCGAUUACUUUUGGUGAAUUCUCUGUAUUUAUGUUAGUUUAACCCAAUCUUAUUACAAACUAAUGGAAUACAAUCACAAGAAAUCAAUAAACAGUGUUUUAUUAUCA
Brassica oleracea var. oleracea is the source of this 1025-nucleotide RNA transcript. It is a transcript of the gene named 60S ribosomal protein L10a-3-like, with no coding region annotated. Lineage: Eukaryota; Viridiplantae; Streptophyta; Magnoliopsida; Brassicales; Brassicaceae. The record is from RefSeq and is a predicted model, not a curated record. The transcript has 7 exons.